AACACAACGGUGUUCUACAAGCU
Molecule: small nuclear RNA, 23 nt
Filed under: Arabidopsis thaliana (thale cress)
Lineage: Eukaryota; Viridiplantae; Streptophyta; Magnoliopsida; Brassicales; Brassicaceae
Description: snRNA_16720
Source: RNAcentral